UCAGUUGUGAAAGUUUGCGGCUCAACCGUAAAAUUGCAGUUGAUACUGGGCGCCUUGAGUGCAGCAUAGGUAGGCGGAAUUCGUGGUGUAGCGGUGAAAUGCUUAGAUAUCACGAAGAACUCCGAUUGCGAAGGCAGCUUACUGGACUGUAACUGACGCUGAUGCUCGAAAGUGUGGGUAUCAAACAGGAUUAGAUACCCUGGUAGUCCACACGGUAAACGAUGAAUACUCGCUGUUUGCGAUAUACGGCAAGCGGCCAAGCGAAAGCGUUAAGUAUUCCACCUGGGGAGUACGCCGGCAACGGUGAAACUCAAAGGAAUUGACGGGGGCCCGCACAAGCGGAGGAACAUGUGGUUUAAUUCGAUGAUACGCGAGGAACCUUACCCGGGCUUAAAUUGCAACAGAAUAUAUUGGAAACAGUAUAGCCGUAAGGCUGUUGUGAAGGUGCUGCAUGGUUGUCGUCAGCUCGUGCCGUGAGGUGUCGGCUUAAG
RNAcentral lists this ribosomal RNA (491 nucleotides) under uncultured bacterium. Its description in RNAcentral is "bacterial SSU rRNA". It matches the Rfam family "Bacterial small subunit ribosomal RNA", at positions 588 to 1084 of the family's 1533-position model. The record is from RNAcentral.